CCGUGGUAAUUCUAGAGCUAAUACAUGCUAAAAAUCCCGACUUCUGGAAGGGAUGUAUUUAUUAGAUAAAAAAUCAAUGCUCUUUGAGCUCUUUGAUGAUUCAUAAUAACUUUUCGAAUCGCAUGGCCUUGUGCUGGCGAUGGUUCAUUCAAAUUUCUGCCCUAUCAACUUUCGAUGGUAGGAUAGUGGCCUACCAUGGUUUCAACGGGUAACGGGGAAUAAGGGUUCGAUUCCGGAGAGGGAGCCUGAGAAACGGCUACCACAUCCAAGGAAGGCAGCAGGCGCGCAAAUUACCCAAUCCCGACACGGGGAGGUAGUGACAAUAAAUAACGAUACAGGGCCCUUUCGGGUCUUGUAAUUGGAAUGAGUACAAUGUAAAUACCUUAACGAGGAACAAUUGGAGGGCAAGUCUGGUGCCAGCAGCCGCGGUAAUUCCAGCUCCAAUAGCGUAUAUUAAAGUUGUUGCAGUUAAAAAGCUCGUAGUUGAACCUUGGGCUUGGUUGGCCGGUCCGCUUUAUGGCGAGUACUGGACCCAACCGAGCCUUUCCUUCUGGCUAACCUUUCGCCCUUGUGGUGUUUGGAGAACCAGGACUUUUACUUUGAAAAAAUUAGAGUGUUCAAAGCAGGCCUUUGCUCGAAUAUAUUAGCAUGGAAUAAUAGAAUAGGACGUUAUGGUUCUAUUUUGUUGGUUUCUAGGACCAUCGUAAUGAUUAAUAGGGACGGUCGGGGGCAUCAGUAUUCAGUUGUCAGAGGUGAAAUUCUUGGAUUUACUGAAAGACUAACUAC
This 786-nucleotide ribosomal RNA is filed under the name Dujonia oleophila. RNAcentral describes it as "SSU rRNA". It matches the Rfam family "Eukaryotic small subunit ribosomal RNA", at positions 147 to 943 of the family's 1831-position model. The record is from RNAcentral. Lineage: Eukaryota; Fungi; Ascomycota; Pichiomycetes; Serinales; Debaryomycetaceae.